CUCCACAGAUAGCGAGAUUUUAGCUAUCUAUCUGGGUGAACAACACUGACUUGGUGAAUUUUCCUCAUUUACUGUCACUGUGGGAGAGAAAAGAAAGCAGAUUUCGAUGGAGAAACUCUUGCAAAUGAGCAGGUUAAGCAGAAAAGCCGUAAAUCUCGGUGGUGAGACACAGCUGGAGAGUCCUGGACCUUGACCGACUGACAUUCAUGCCGUUCCUGGGUGAUCAACAGCAACAACAGCAGCAGCAGCUUAAUCCCGUCCUCAGGUAUGCGUGCUCCACUCCACAAACAAACCCCGCAAAUAAAUAUUAAUCUUCCAGAAAAAUAGAUCUACGUUAAGAGAUUCUCGGCAGGUUGAUCUGGUGGCGGAUUUUUCCCCGCAGAGCGCAGACCUGGCUUGUGAAUGGGAGCAGCAGCAGCAGAGAAACACGCCUAGAGAGCGAUGCCUCAUCUUAAAGGGCCAGCAGAGCUGUAGGUAGAUACAGUAGACAUCCAGGAACAAAGGAAGCAGGGUUCAUUUCCAUGUUAUCACAAAACAGAAAACAUAACACCUAUAUUCAAAAUACUAAGGACAAAAGUAACAAACUAGGAAGCUAAGGAACACUGCACUGACCUCCAUGACUGAUGAGGAUGCUGAUGCUGAUAACCUUUUCACACCUUUCCUUAUUCAAUGUGUUUUCUUUCUAUCUAUAUAUCUUUUUUUACGUUGUACAUUUAAUGUUAAAGUAUAAUAUGUUUUACUCUGUUCUAAGUCAGUUCUACCUGGCACACAACCGACCUUCAAAGUUGAAAUAUGGUUGUAAACAACAACAACAGACUUUCAAUAUCUUACGCAUCACUUUAAAUAAGGAAGGACUAAAGUGCUGCCACUAUGAUCGGGAGUUUGCUGGUUCAAAUCCUGUUUAUGCAGCUUGCCAUCAGCUGCCGGAGCUCCAAGACAGCACAAUUCGCCUUGCUCUCUCUGGGUGGGUAGAUAGUGCUCUCUCUCCACAUCACUCAGCAUAAGGCUGCGUCUGUGAGCUGAUGUAUUGGAACCGAGUCGCUGCUCUUUCCUCCAAGCGUGCUGUGAUGCUACUCGGCAAUGCUGCAUCAGCAGCAGUUGGAAAAGAAGCAGUGACUGACUUCACAUGUAUCGGAGAGGGCAUGUCUUCACCUUCCUGGUGUUGGGGCAUCACUAAUGAUGGGGGAGUCCUAAUGAGUGGGUUGGGUAAUUUCCUUGUAAAUUGGGGAGAAAAUGUGAUUAAAAAAUGGUAAGGAUUAAAAAUCCAAAUUGUAAUCAAGAAUCACUCAUAUAUUUAAAGAAUACUGAGAUGUUUUAGCCUACAAACACCAGUCCUUACACUCAAAUUAAAUCAACUUACAUUCAA
Molecule: long non-coding RNA, 1366 nt
Organism: Astyanax mexicanus (Mexican tetra)
Lineage: Eukaryota; Metazoa; Chordata; Actinopteri; Characiformes; Acestrorhamphidae
Exons: 2
Source: RefSeq, a predicted model, not a curated record